AGAAUCAACGCUGGCGGCGUGCCUAACACAUGCAAGUCGAACGAGAAAGUCCGCAAGGACAAGUAAAGUGGCGACCGGGUGAGUAGCACGUGACUAACCUACCUUUUAGUGGGGGAUAACUCCGGGAAACCGGGGCUAAUACCGCAUAACAUCGCAAGAUCAAAGCAGCAAUGCGCUGGAAGAGGGGGUCGCGGCUGAUUAGCUAGUUGGCGGGGUAAUGGCCCACCAAGGCGAAGAUCGGUAUCCGGCCUGAGAGGGCGCACGGACACACUGGAACUGAAACACGGUCCAGACUCCUACGGGAGGCAGCAGUGGGGAAUUUGCGCAAUGGGGGAAACCCUGACGCAGCAACGCCGCGUGGAGGAUGAAGUCCCUUGGGACGUAAACUCCUUUCGACCAAGACGAUAAUGACGGUACUGGUGGAAGAAGCACCGGCUAACUCUGCGCCAGCAGCCGC
Molecule: ribosomal RNA, 457 nt
Filed under: uncultured bacterium
Lineage: Bacteria
Description: SSU rRNA
Rfam family: Bacterial small subunit ribosomal RNA
Source: RNAcentral